Molecule: long non-coding RNA, 598 nt
Filed under: Gallus gallus (chicken)
Lineage: Eukaryota; Metazoa; Chordata; Aves; Galliformes; Phasianidae
Description: lncRNA (ENSGALG00010004449.1)
Source: RNAcentral
CUGGGACCGUAUCAAAGGCCUUGUAGAUGUCCAGACUUUAUUUAUCUAUGCUUUAGCUGUGUUGGGAAGGUUUGCCAAAGCAAAGAAAAAUUGCACAAGUCUCCACUGAAAUAAAUAGGAGGCACUACUUUUGGAGAAGCCAAAUUAGGGAUCUGUUGUUUUGUGGAUCACAUGGGGAAUUCCAAACAGAAGCAAUCUUCAUGCUACCUGACACUGUAUGAGCUUAGUCAUCCCCGGCAAAUAACUCGUCUUUGAAAGAAGCUUACAUCUCACCUAAGCUUAUUUAUGCGGGCAAUCUUUCCUCAGUCUAUUUCAGCAUCUCCAUGGAUGAUGAUUAAGUAUGCCAGGAAAUAAGCGUUUUCAACUGAUUUCAGAGAGAGAAAUGUGCUGUGGUGGUUUUCAUGAUUCAAACUCAAAAUCAGGAAGGAAGCAAGACAUGUUCAGCUGUUUUCUGACAAGAAUUUCUUCAGAGCAAGAAAUGUGCUGUGGUGGUUUUCAUGAUUCAAACUCAAUAUCGAGAAGGAAGCAAGACAUGUUCAGCUGUUUCCUGACAAGAAUUUCUAAUCAACCCUUUUUUGUCAUCAAAAGAAGUGUCUCC